RNAcentral lists this long non-coding RNA (811 nucleotides) under Heterocephalus glaber (naked mole-rat). Its description in RNAcentral is "lncRNA (ENSHGLG00100052296.1)". The record is from RNAcentral. Lineage: Eukaryota; Metazoa; Chordata; Mammalia; Rodentia; Bathyergidae.
UCACUCUGGGCCUAUAGAAUCGAAAUCCUUUGGGCUAAAGCUUGAAACUACUCAUUUUAAACAAACUCUCAUGUAAACUCUGAUCCAAACCCAGCUUAAAAUCUUUGCUUUAUGAGGUCAGGUCCAGGGUUGGAUUUUGAUAAGGAAAAUCAUUCAGAUGGCCUCCAAAAAAACCUCUACGACAAAGUUGAGAAUAUUACCAAGAGCUGCCACAUACCUAAAGAAACAAAUAUUAUGAGGUCACACUCAAGAAAUUCCACGUUGCUAAGUUUGUAAGAUGUUCUUCACAACACCUGACACUGAGUGAGAGGGUGACUCGGAAGACGCAUUCUUCACAGAAUGAGCUGCUAGCACCACGUCCCACGCUCUCCUACUUCCUCUGUCUCGAUUCUUUCUUUCUUUAAAAUUAGAUGUUGACUUGCAAUGGGUUUAGAAGCCAUUUACUUGAAUCCCUUCAUUUUCACAUUAGAAUUUUGAUAUUUUAAGCUUAAUUAUAUCAUUGUAGAAAACAUGGAAAGUACAGACAAAGGUGUGUAGGUCAUGUUAAAACCAUUCUGGGGAAGACAGCUAUGAAGGGUAUGCAAUUAUUCUCCUGAGCUUCCUGCAAAACUCCUUUAUGAAAUUUAAAGAAAAAGAUGUCCAACUUGAUGCCUGCCUUCCUUGAUCCAAGCAGUUUUUUGAUCCCACCAGCUCAGUACUUCUUAGAGAUCAGUACAUUUCUCACCUUGGCAUUUCCAGGGCAUUUGUUUGUGUAUAGCUCCAUCUCUCCUGAUGCAGUAUGAACUUCCUCAAGGCAAAGAUCCAACUCCUA